UCUUAGCCUAUCUUAACUCACCACUCUCUUUCCUCUCCAACCUUCUAGCCGCCUCCUUCAUCUUCUUCAUGGGGGUGAUUUUUGUUCUUCUUAGUUGGGUUAGAUUUACUCUAAUCUAACUCUAGAUUUGUGUGUCUUCAUUUUUUGGAGUUGAGAUGCGAGUUUUGUGGUUUAAGAGGGACGGACUCCGCAUACAAGGCGUCAUCAUCUUCAGAGAUCUCUAAUGGACAGUCAAUCACCUGUAAACUCUCGAUAUUUUCACCUCUUAGUGGAUUUUUAUGUAGGGUCUCACAAAGAGUUUGGUUCACUUAUUUAUUUUAAUUGUCCGUUGUAAUGUUGCAGUGUUUAGUUCUUUAUUGAUAUUUAUCUGUAAUUUAAUUAUUGUAUAUUCACCAUUUAGGAGUUUUGUACUAUGAUGAUACCCCGUCAUGAACUAAUGUUGUAGUAUUUAGAUGAAAAUCCUCAUAAACUAUAAUAUCAUUUUAAUAAAAAAAACUCACCUA
This is a long non-coding RNA of Mercurialis annua (annual mercury), 503 nucleotides long. RefSeq lists it as uncharacterized. The transcript has 2 exons. NCBI's taxonomy places the organism in Eukaryota, Viridiplantae, Streptophyta, Magnoliopsida, Malpighiales, Euphorbiaceae. The record is from RefSeq and is a predicted model, not a curated record.